GUCUACGGCCACGCCACCCUGAACAAGCCCGAUCCUGUCUGAUCUCAGAAGCUAAGCAGGGUCGGGCCUGGUUAGUACUUGGACGGGAGACCACCUAGGAAGACCAGGUGCUGUAGGCG
Pteropus alecto (black flying fox) is the source of this 119-nucleotide non-coding RNA. The record is from Rfam. NCBI's taxonomy places the organism in Eukaryota, Metazoa, Chordata, Mammalia, Chiroptera, Pteropodidae.